GUCUAUGGCCAUGCCACCCUGAACAAGCCCGAUGUCUGAUCUUGGAAGCUAAGCAGGGCCAGCCCUGGUUAGUACAUGAAUAGGAGACCAAGUAGGAAGACCAGGUGCUGUAGGCA
Molecule: ribosomal RNA, 116 nt
Filed under: Pteropus alecto (black flying fox)
Lineage: Eukaryota; Metazoa; Chordata; Mammalia; Chiroptera; Pteropodidae
Source: RNAcentral